AAGUAAAUUGACCUUCGCCUGCACUCAAGGUCGUCUCCCUCUCCUUCCAUCUCCUGUACCAGCACAGCCGCCGCCGCGAGCUAGAGUUACGGCCCAGCGAGCUCAAGAACCAAUCUCCCUCCCUCAAGAUCUUCACUGAAUCCAAUCGCCGCUCUCUCCCUCUUCUGUACCAAUGCGCCAGCUGCCAGGCGAUUUUGGCAACAGCCUACCACCGGAACAUCUGAAGAGUGCCCCGAUUUCGCCUUUGGCAGUGGUCGCUCGUUGUGAGCGCAUCGGCGACUCAACCUACCACCGCCACCGCCGUCAGCAGCACUAACCAUCUGCAGCAGCUGAAGGAUCUUGAUUCAGGGCCAUCUUGCCCGCUCCAACAAUAUUUUUGCCUUUGAUAAGCAUGGAAAAAAUGCAAGCAUCGCCUUCCUUCGCAUCUUCACCAGGCUUCAAACCAAUUAGCUGGAGGCAUGAACUAGGAGGUCAAAGAAUCAGCCCAUGCUGAUGAAUUAUGGCUGGGUAAUCUUCAUAGGAGUCAUCUUCAUGUCUCCCAAGAUGACAGAUGAUGAAACUGAUAAUUUCACCUCUUGUGCUAGUCCCGAUCUGGUUAUCCAGGCUUUGUUUUCUUUGGCACCAUGUAAUCAGCGAGAAUGUACAUUUGUUAGAAAAAAUAUGGCAAGCUUUUUGUACUUAAAUGUGUGGUUGUCAUACAAUUUAUGUGAAUGCUUGUGAUGCAUGGAAGAAUCUAAAGAAAAUGUGUUCAGAGAUCUCU
This is a non-coding RNA of Triticum urartu, 760 nucleotides long. The record is from RefSeq and is a predicted model, not a curated record. NCBI's taxonomy places the organism in Eukaryota, Viridiplantae, Streptophyta, Magnoliopsida, Poales, Poaceae.